This is a long non-coding RNA of Penaeus vannamei (Pacific white shrimp), 402 nucleotides long. RefSeq lists it as uncharacterized. The record is from RefSeq and is a predicted model, not a curated record. NCBI's taxonomy places the organism in Eukaryota, Metazoa, Arthropoda, Malacostraca, Decapoda, Penaeidae.
CGCGUAUAUAAGGGCCUGUUCCUCCAGUUUCCUCACCAUUCGCCUUUCUGAAGCCGGUUCGAAGCGAGUUCCGAAAUUUCGAGCAACAUGAUGAGCUGCAGACUCCUGAUGGUGCUGGCGGUGCUGCUGGUGGUGCAGGUGAGCCUGACCCUUGCGAGUCCCUGGGGCGGCGGUGUGCAAGUUGUCCACUCAGGCUACGUGGCUCGUCCUGUCGUCUACAGAGGCGGCUUUGAUCACGACGACGGCUUCGACAGCAACGAAUUCGACGACCACAGGUACAGGUCGUGGUAAUUCACCCCUCAAAUCCCUCCCAGACGUUGGCUGAACUUCUAGAUGACAUCCCGCUCGGACUUGCUGCGUUCCUCGAGAAUCCGAAUGAGAAUAAUAAACUUGUUGUAUGUG